GUCCAGGUUCAUACCACUCUGAACAUCCUUUCUGGUCUGACCUCAGAAGCUAAGCAGAGCGGGGCCUGGUUAGUUCUUAGAUGGAAAUAAACAUGCCUUGUGGGGCGCUGCGCUCUGGGAGCCCACAGCGCCGACU
RNAcentral lists this ribosomal RNA (136 nucleotides) under Cavia porcellus (domestic guinea pig). The record is from RNAcentral. Lineage: Eukaryota; Metazoa; Chordata; Mammalia; Rodentia; Caviidae.